Molecule: ribosomal RNA, 1698 nt
Filed under: metagenome
Description: bacterial LSU rRNA
Rfam family: Bacterial large subunit ribosomal RNA
Source: RNAcentral
CCUUAUUUAAUUGGUAGGAGAGCGUUCUUAUCAGCGAUGAAGGUAUACCGUGAGGAGUGCUGGAGCGAUAAGAAGUGAGAAUGCCGGUAUGAGUAGCGCAAGACAGGUGAGAAUCCUGUCCACCGUAAGACUAAGGUUUCCAGGGGAAGGCUCGUCCGCCCUGGGUUAGUCGGGACCUAAGGAGAGGCCGAAUGGCGUAUCCGAUGGACAACAGGUUGAUAUUCCUGUACUAGGUUAUAUAGUGAUUGGAGGGACGCAGUAGGCUAAGGUAAGCCAGUUAAUGGAUUCUGGUCUAAGCAGUGAGGUUUGGUAUGAGUCAAAUGCUUGUACCUAUAAGAUUGAGCUGUGAUGGGGAAGCACUUUCGAGUGCGAAGUACCUGAUGUCACACUGCCAAGAAAAUCUUCUAGCGUUUAAUUAUAACCUACCCGUACCGCAAACCGACACAGGUAGUCGAGGCGAGUAGCCUCAGGUGAGCGAGAGAACUCUCGUUAAGGAACUCGGCAAAAUGACCCCGUAACUUCGGGAGAAGGGGUGCUCUACAUUUGUAGAGCCGCAGUGAAUAGGCCCAAGCGACUGUUUAUCAAAAACACAGCUCUCUGCUAAAUCGUAAGAUGAUGUAUAGGGGGUGACGCCUGCCCGGUGCUGGAAGGUUAAGAGGAGUGCUUAGCGUAAGCGAAGGUAUGAAUUGAAGCCCCAGUAAACGGCGGCCGUAACUAUAACGGUCCUAAGGUAGCGAAAUUCCUUGUCGGGUAAGUUCCGACCCGCACGAAAGGCGUAACGAUUUGGGCACUGUCUCAACGAGAGACUCGGUGAAAUUUUAGUACCUGUGAAGAUGCAGGUUACCCGCGACAAGACGGAAAGACCCCAUGGAGCUUUACUGCAAGUUGAUAUUGAGUAUCUGUUGCACAUGUACAGGAUAGGUAGGAGCCAUUGAUCUGAGGACGCUAGUUUUCAGUGAGGCGAUGUUGGGAUACUACCCUUGUGUCAUGGCUACUCUAACCCGCAUGCCUAAUCGGCAUGGGAGACAGUGUCUGCUGGGCAGUUUGACUGGGGCGGUCGCCUCCUAAAGAGUAACGGAGGCGCUCAAAGUUUCCCUCAGCAUGGUUGGAAAUCAUGCGUAGAGUGUAAAGGUAUAAGGGAGAUUGACUGCGAGACUUACAAGUCGAGCAGGUACGAAAGUAGGACUUAGUGAUCCGGUGGUACCGCAUGGAAGGGCCAUCGCUCAACGGAUAAAAGCUACCCUGGGGAUAACAGGCUUAUCUCCCCCAAGAGUUCACAUCGACGGGGAGGUUUGGCACCUCGAUGUCGGCUCGUCGCAUCCUGGGGCUGUAGUCGGUCCCAAGGGUUGGGCUGUUCGCCCAUUAAAGCGGCACGCGAGCUGGAUUCAGAACGUCGUGAGACAGUUCGGUCCCUAUCCGUCGCGGGCGUAGGAAAUUUGAGAGGAUCUGCCCUUAGUACGAGAGGACCGGGGUGGACUUACCGCUGGUGUACCAGUUGUCUUGCCAAAGGCAUCGCUGGGUAGCUAUGUAGGGAACGGAUAAACGCUGAAAGCAUCUAAGUGUGAAACCAACCUCAAGAUGAGAUUUCCCAUUCUUUAUGAAUUAAGAGCCCUGAGAGAUGAUCAGGUAGAUAGGCUAGAAGUGGAAGGACAGUGAUGUUUGGAGCGGACUAGUACUAAUAGCUCGAGGGCUUUACCA